This 429-nucleotide ribosomal RNA is filed under the name Acidobacteriota bacterium. Its description in RNAcentral is "Acidobacteria bacterium partial 16S ribosomal RNA". It matches the Rfam family "Bacterial small subunit ribosomal RNA", at positions 355 to 776 of the family's 1533-position model. The record is from RNAcentral. Lineage: Bacteria; Pseudomonadati; Acidobacteriota.
UGGGGAAUUUUGGACAAUGGGGGAAACCCUGAUCCAGCCAUCCCGCGUGUGCGAUGAAGGCCUUCGGGUUGUAAAGCCCUUUUGGCAGGAAAGAAACGUCAUGGGUUAAUACCCCGUGAAACUGACGGUACCUGCAGAAUAAGCACCGGCUAACUACGUGCCAGCAGCCGCGGUAAUACGUAGGGUGCAAGCGUUAAUCGGAAUUACUGGGCGUAAAGCGUGCGAAGGCGGUUCGGAAAGAAAGAUGUGAAAUCCCAGAGCUCAACUUUGGAACUGAAUUUUUAACUACCGGGCUAGAGUGUGUCAGAGGGAGGUGGAAUUCCGCGUGUAGCAGUGAAAUGCGUAGAUAUGCGGAGGAACACCGAUGGCGAAGGCAGCCUCCUGGGAUAACACUGACGCUCAUGCACGAAAGCGUGGGGAGCAAACAGG